GGCUGUCAUAGCAGUUGGUAUGAAUGGGUAGGUGCCACUACUGAUAAUAUGGCUGCCAUAACAGUUGGUAUGACUGGGUAGGUGCCACUACUGAUAAUAUGGCUGCCAUAACACCUGGAAUGAGUGGGUAGGCGCCACUACUGAUAAUAUGGCUGCCAUAACAGUUGGUAUGAAUGGGUAGGUGCCACGACUGAUAAUAUGGCUGCCAUAACAGUUGGUAUGAAUGGGUAGGCGCCACUACUGAUAAUAUGGCUGCCAUAACAGUUGGUAUGAGUGGGUAGGCGCCACUACUGAUAAUAUGGCUGCCAUAACAGUUGGUUUGACUGGGUAGGUGCCACUACUGAUAAUAUGGCUGCCGUAGCAGUUGGUAUGAAUGGGCUGCCAUAACAGUUGGUAUGAG
Molecule: non-coding RNA, 400 nt
Organism: Pelobates cultripes (western spadefoot toad)
Lineage: Eukaryota; Metazoa; Chordata; Amphibia; Anura; Pelobatidae
Source: the annotation of a GenBank genome assembly